This 464-nucleotide ribosomal RNA is filed under the name uncultured bacterium. RNAcentral's name for it is "partial 16S ribosomal RNA". It matches the Rfam family "Bacterial small subunit ribosomal RNA", at positions 338 to 795 of the family's 1533-position model. The record is from RNAcentral.
CCUACGGUGAGCAGCAGUGGGGAAUCUUCCGCAAUGGGCGAAAGCCUGACGGAGCAACGCCGCGUGAUCGAAUGAAGGCCUUCGGGUUGUAAAGAUCUGUUGACAGGGACGAAUAAGCCAUGCGAAUAGUUUGGUGUAUGACGGUACCUGUUUAGAAAGCUCCGGCUAACUACGUGCCAGCAGCCGCGGUAAUACGGAGGGAGCAAGCGUUGUCCGGAAUUACUGGGCGUAAAGGGCGCGUAGGUAGGUGCUUAAGUCAGGUGUGAAAACGCUGGGCGCAACCUGGAGACUGCACUUGAAACAGGGUAUCUUUAGGGCAGGAGAGGAAAGUGGAAUUCCUAGGGUAGCGGUGAAAGGCGUAGAUAUUAGGAGGAACACCAGUGGCGAAGGCGACUUUCUGGACUGUACCUGACGCUGAGGCGCGAAAGCGUGGGUAGCGAACGGGAUUAGAUACCCCUGUAGUC